CGCGGAGUAGAGCAGCUUGGUGGCUCGCAAGGCUCAUAACCUUGAGGUCACGGGUGCAAAUCCCGUCUUCGCAA
Molecule: transfer RNA, 74 nt
Filed under: Geranium incanum
Lineage: Eukaryota; Viridiplantae; Streptophyta; Magnoliopsida; Geraniales; Geraniaceae
Description: tRNA-Met
Rfam family: tRNA
About the family: Transfer RNA (tRNA) molecules are approximately 80 nucleotides in length. Their secondary structure includes four short double-helical elements and three loops (D, anti-codon, and T loops). Further hydrogen bonds mediate the characteristic L-shaped molecular structure. tRNAs have two regions of fundamental functional importance: the anti-codon, which is responsible for specific mRNA codon recognition, and the 3' end, to which the tRNAs corresponding amino acid is attached (by aminoacyl-tRNA synthetases). tRNAs cope with the degeneracy of the genetic code in two manners: having more than one tRNA (with a specific anti-codon) for a particular amino acid; and 'wobble' base-pairing, i.e. permitting non-standard base-pairing at the 3rd anti-codon position.
Source: RNAcentral